Long non-coding RNA from Callithrix jacchus (white-tufted-ear marmoset), 1182 nucleotides. RefSeq lists it as uncharacterized. NCBI's taxonomy places the organism in Eukaryota, Metazoa, Chordata, Mammalia, Primates, Cebidae. The record is from RefSeq and is a predicted model, not a curated record.
GCUUGCAAUGGCGAGCCCGGGAAGCGGAACAGGAACGGAGAGCGGCAUGGUUGUCGGAGGACGAAUGAAUUUCCUCUAUGGCCUUGCACUGCCUAAUAAAGGAGCUCUUGGAAGGAUCCUGUUCUGUUUAUGGUGCAUGUUAAGUACAUGCAAUGAUUUUCAUUAUUUCAAACUCCAUAAUGAAAUGACUGAGUGCCCAGCAACAUUAGAUGAUGGACAAACAUCUAUUCAACUGGCUGGAUGAACCAUGGCUUUCUGGCAUUAAAAGUGUAAUAGCUGGAUAAACAUAUUCGACGACAGACCUUGGCAAGAACUGCAAAGAUGCUCUUGACAAUGGCAUGAAUAAAUAUUAGGUGUUAUCUAGAAUUCACUGCAUUUGAGGCCUUGAGCAAAGCCAGGUAUUUGUUUUCAUCUGUUGGAGCAUGCACACAGUCUCUAGAAGAUGAGAAGGAAGACAGGGAGGAGAAAGAACAAUAACUAUUUUCUCUGAGCUGGUUUAUGUGCCACAGGUUUCUCCUAAAUCAAGAUGUAAGAAAUAGCACCAAGAAACAGGGUGGACUCCUUUACCUUACUGCUCCCAGCUGCUUUGGGAGCCUUGGGCUACUGUGUAAACAUGGCCAAGUCCAAGAACCACGCUACGCAUCACUAGUCCUGAAAAUGGAACAGAAAUGGCAUCAAGUAACCCCUAUGUCAAAGGUGUAAAUCUCUUAAGAGGGUGGGCCCCAAGUUCCUGAGGAACAUGCACUUUGCUAAGAAGCACAAGAAGGGCCGGAAGAGGCAGGUCAACGAUACCAGGGCCGCGAGUGCACCAACUGAGGCUGCCAGGGCCCUUGUGAAAUCCAAGGAGGUCAAGUCCAAGAUCCCGCAGGGCUUUUGGUGCAACACUCAGUCAACUUUCCUGCACUGAUCGCCCCAAGCUCAGGUAGUGUGCUCAUCCCUGCAUCAUCAAGAGUUUUCAGGCUCUGCUGGCCAAAGUCAAAGCCCGGGGCUCAAACCGAGCACCAGGAUGUGGCUGCAUCUCCAGCUCAGGCUCCCAAAUGUGCCCAGGGCCCUACCAAAGCCUGAGAGCAAUGUGACGGUAGAAGGACUGCUGUAGGACUGGUGUGGCCUCACAGCUGCCAUCUGCCUGUGGCUGGAGACCUCCUGUGUUGUUUGUACAAGCUGGAACUUUCUCUCCUGGAA